RNAcentral lists this ribosomal RNA (439 nucleotides) under uncultured bacterium. RNAcentral describes it as "bacterial SSU rRNA". It matches the Rfam family "Bacterial small subunit ribosomal RNA", at positions 56 to 518 of the family's 1533-position model. The record is from RNAcentral.
UGCAAGUCGAACGGAAGUAGAAAUACUUAGUGGCGAACGGGUGAGUAACACGUGAGCAACCUGCCUUACACGACAGGGAUAACAGUUGGAACGACUGCUAAUACCGGAUAAGACCACACUAUGGCAUCAUAGAGGGGUCAAAGUGAUUUAGCGGUGUAAGAUGGGCUCGCGUCCAAUUAGCUAGUUGGUGAGGUAACGGCCCACCAAGGCGACGAUUGGUAGCCGACUUGAGAGAGUGAUCGGCCACACUGGAACUGAGACACGGUCCAGACUCCUACGGGAGGCAGCAGUGGGGAAUAUUGGGCAAUGGAGGAAACUCUUACCCAAGCAAUGCCGCGUGAGUGAUGAAGGUCUUUGGAUUGUAAAGCUCUUUGAUUGGGGACGAAUAAAUGACGGUACCCAAAGAACAAGCCCCGGCUAACUAUGUGCCAGCCGCCGC